AGUCGAACGAACUCUUCGGAGUGAGUGGCGGACGGGUGAGUAACGCGUGAGAAUCUGCCUGUGGGUCGGGGACAACCACUGGAAACGGUGGCUAAUACCGGAUGAGCCGAAAGGUAAAAAAUUUAUUGCCCACAGAUGAGCUCGCGUCUGAUUAGCUAGUUGGUAAGGUAAAAGCGUACCAAGGCGACGAUCAGUAGCUGGUCUGAGAGGAUGAGCAGCCACACUGGGACUGAGACACGGCCCAGACUCCUACGGGAGGCAGCAGUGGGGAAUUUUCCGCAAUGGGCGAAAGCCUGACGGAGCAAGACCGCGUGGGGGAGGAAGGUUUUUGGAUCGUAAACCCCUUUUGUCAAGGAAGAAGUUCUGACGGUACUUUGACGAAUAAGCCUCGGCUAACUCCGUGCCAGCAGCCGCGGUAAAUACGGAGGAGGGCAAGCGUUAUCCGGAAUGAUUGGGCCGUAAAAGCGUCUGUAGGUGGGCCAGCUAAGUCUGCUGGUUAAA
RNAcentral lists this ribosomal RNA (501 nucleotides) under uncultured bacterium. RNAcentral describes it as "bacterial SSU rRNA". It matches the Rfam family "Bacterial small subunit ribosomal RNA", at positions 60 to 600 of the family's 1533-position model. The record is from RNAcentral.